RNAcentral lists this ribosomal RNA (253 nucleotides) under uncultured prokaryote. RNAcentral's name for it is "partial 16S ribosomal RNA". It matches the Rfam family "Bacterial small subunit ribosomal RNA", at positions 524 to 776 of the family's 1533-position model. The record is from RNAcentral.
GACAGAGACCUCGAGCGUUAGGCGGAAUCACUGGGCUUAAAGCGCGUGUAGGCGGAUCGUUAAGUGCCUUGUGAAAUCCCGCGGCUCAACCGCGGAACCGCUGGGCAUACUGGCGGUCUUGGGCCACUCAGGGGUCACUGGAACAAGCGGUGGAGCGGUGAAAUGCGUAGAUAUAGGAAGGAACACCAGUGGCGAAGGCGACCACCUGGACUGAUACUGACACUGAGGUGCGAAAGCGUGGGGAGCAAACAGG